GACGAACGCUGGCGGCGUGCCUAAUACAUGCAAGUAGAACGCACAGUUUAUACCGUAGCUUGCUACACCAUAGACUGUGAGUUGCGAACGGGUGAGUAACGCGUAGGUAACCUGCCUGGUAGCGGGGGAUAACUAUUGGAAACGAUAGCUAAUACCGCAUAAUAUUAAUUAUUGCAUGAUAAUUAAUUGAAAGGUGCAAUUGCACCACUACCAGAUGGACCUGCGUUGUAUUAGCUAGUAGGUGAGGUAACGGCUCACCUAGGCGACGAUACAUAGCCGACCUGAGAGGGUGAUCGGCCACCCUGGGACUGAGACACGGCCCAGACUCCUACGGGAGGCAGCAGUAGGGAAUCUUCGGCAAUGGGCGAAAGUCUGACCGAGCAACGCCGCGUGAGUGAAGAAGGUUUUCGGAUCGUAAAGCUCUGUUGUAAGAGAAGAACGGGUGUGAGAGUGGAAAGUUCACACUGUGACGGUAUCUUACCAGAAAGGGACGGCUAACUACGUG
This 505-nucleotide ribosomal RNA is filed under the name uncultured bacterium. RNAcentral's name for it is "partial 16S ribosomal RNA". It matches the Rfam family "Bacterial small subunit ribosomal RNA", at positions 28 to 507 of the family's 1533-position model. The record is from RNAcentral.